Molecule: transfer RNA, 69 nt
Filed under: Bombus breviceps
Lineage: Eukaryota; Metazoa; Arthropoda; Insecta; Hymenoptera; Apidae
Description: tRNA-Asn
Source: RNAcentral
UAAAUUGAAGCCAAACUAGAGGCAUUUUAUUGUUAAUAAAAUCAUUGAAUUUUUUAAAUUCCAAUUUAC